GAAGCAACGCGAAGAACCUUACCAGCCCUUGACAUCCCGGUCGCGGAUUUCAGAGAUGAGAUCCUUCAGUUCGGCUGGACCGGAGACAGGUGCUGCAUGGCUGUCGUCAGCUCGUGUCGUGAGAUGUUGGGUUAAGUCCCGCAACGAGCGCAACCCUCGCCCUUAGUUGCCAUCAUUCAGUUGGGCACUCUAAGGGGACUGCCGGUGAUAAGCCGCGAGGAAGGUGGGGAUGACGUCAAGUCCUCAUGGCCCUUACGGGCUGGGCUACACACGUGCUACAAUGGCGGUGACAAUGGGACGCGAAGGGGCGACCCUUGGCAAAUCUCAAAAAGCCGUCUCAGUUCGGAUUGGGCUCUGCAACUCGAGCCCAUGAAGUUGGAAUCGCUAGUAAUCGCAGAUCAGCACGCUGCGGUGAAUACGUUCCCGGGCCUUGUACACACCGCCCGUCACA
RNAcentral lists this ribosomal RNA (451 nucleotides) under uncultured bacterium. Its description in RNAcentral is "bacterial SSU rRNA". It matches the Rfam family "Bacterial small subunit ribosomal RNA", at positions 953 to 1401 of the family's 1533-position model. The record is from RNAcentral.